AUCCAGUCCAGCAUGUGUAUUUUCUUGAAAGUCGGUUAAAGCAUACUGUAGGCUACACCCGACACGUACUGGGCUCACGCAAACUUCGCGACAAUGCUUAUUAUUAUCACAAAGCUGAGUGGAUCAUUGCAGCAUGCUCAGGAAAGUGGCAGAUAUGCAGCACAGCAUCUGGACUGAUCAUUACCCUGAGAAAACAUCACAUCAAGCUGAGAGUGACAGUUUUGUAAGGCCUAUCCCUAGCAAAACAGAGAGAACAAAAGGACUCAACAGCUACAGGACACCAGGAGUACCUGUUACUUGUGCUAAUCUACCUGUGCGAAGUGUCUGAAAGCCCUGAGGAUCAUCAAGUUAUCUCUGGUCAUGUUAAGAAAAAUGCUCAAGUGGAUGAUUUCUACACUCAUGGGACUGACCAGAGAUCUACCCGCCCAGGUUGUGUCUCUACAGUGGUGAAGAAAAUGUAUGAGUCCUCAAGGGGAUCACCAAUCCGAAAUGGGGGUGAUAGCUGCACCCAGCAAAUCCAUAUCUGCCUUUGAACCAGAGACCAACUCUGGAAAAGAUGCUGAGGCAGUCCAUCCCGGACCAUCAUACUCUGGAUCUAGCUCUGGUUCCAAAGAAAGGCCCAGCGACAAUGGAUGGGGUAACUGGGUACAAGAGAGGUGCAAAAUGGAACAUUGCUACCUACAGAAGAGAUGAAGAGGCCCCAAAUCUUAAAUUAACCGUGGCUCAAAGUCAGGAGUUGAAAGGCCUCCCACUUCCCGUUACCCAGCGACUUCCUGUUACCCAGUGUGUGAGUGAACUUGCAGCUCGUCAACAAAUUAAAAUGACCUUUUACAGAAGAGGGGCUGGGAUGGAGCAUGUGACAUAUACUGUGUUUCUUCAGUUCUUAAUCAUCACCGCACUAAUUCAAGACUCUGAUGAUUGAUAGAGCAGCCAGUCAUGUAAUGAGCUCAACUUGACUGACACACAUGCAGGAAGUGGAACACUCGCUCUCAGGAACACUCCUGAAGCUGUUCAGCCUGCAAUGACGACGGAUGUGCAAAAGUGCAGACAAUAUAUGGAUCGAAUGACACCAUAGUGUAUCAGAGAAGUAACCCCAUCGAAAACCUCACAAGUUGUUCCACCACCUCUGCACCACCUCCUCAGAGUCGGAGGUGUGUUUUGUGUCUUGCUGAUAUCAGAGAUAUAACCCUCUUUUGCUCAGACAGCUGGGAAGCAGCUGGGCCGCUCGACUGGGAGGUUGAUGGUAUCCGAUUGAAAAACAUCUUUAUGGUUGACUGCCCAGCCAUGAAGACUGUUGAUCGUGUAACAGACCUUAUCCCUGGUGAUAUUUCUGGUACCCUCAACCCUGGUGGAAUUGCCGUUAUUGUGGUCUGCUGUGCUGGGAUUGGCAUCGUGUCAAUCGGUUUCUAUUAUCGCAAGAUUGAACGCGAUCGUCAAGAGAGGAGGCCUGAAGCUCUGUAGACGACGAAAGUAUGAGGAACAUGCAGUGGAGCAUUUGGGAGAGGAACAGUGAAGCAUUCUACAUUUUCAAACAAACAUGUCUUAUGAGUUGUUAACACUAGUAGAAACUACAAUUGUAUCGUUUGUGCUGGACACUUCUAUAAGGGGUAAAAGGUUACAAUGACAGUGCAUGCCUUUAGAAACAUUUUCUUUCCUAUAUAUGUUUUCCAUAUGCUUACCUACAGUUGAAGUCGGAAGUUGAGCUACACCUUAUCCAAAUACAUUUAAACUCAGUUUUUCACAAUUCCUGACAUUUAAUCCUAGUAAAAAUUCCCUGCCUUAGGUCAGUUAGGAUCAUCACUAUUUUAAGAAUGAUGCUGAAUGAAGAAUAAAGUGAUCAUGUAAAUUGAGCUCGGUGCAUUUUAAACCCUGUCAUUUGUAGUUCUAGACAACUGCCCACAGGGAGAGAUGCAGUCUAGAGGCAUGGUGGAUCCUGUUUGAUGGGAGCAUGUGGCUAAUAAAGUUUGAGAGCUGUAAUGGUAAUAAUCCUAGACCGUCGCCUGCCUUUUGUGCUGCACUGCUUUCCGUUUCUUUGUUUUUCCAAUUUUAACUAUGUUUUUUAAAAGUA
Oncorhynchus kisutch (coho salmon) is the source of this 2068-nucleotide RNA transcript. RefSeq lists it as uncharacterized. The record is from RefSeq and is a predicted model, not a curated record. NCBI's taxonomy places the organism in Eukaryota, Metazoa, Chordata, Actinopteri, Salmoniformes, Salmonidae. The transcript has 11 exons.